UCGAGAGGCUUCGGCAAUGGGGGAAACCCUGACCGAGCGACGCCGCGUGGGGGAUGAAGGCCUUUGGGUUGUAAACCCCUGUCAAGUGGGACGAAACACUCUGAGGUGAUAAACCGAGGGGUUUGACGGUACCGCCAGAGGAAGCUCCGGCUAACUCCGUGCCAGCAGCCGCGGUAAUACGGGGGGAGCAAGCGUUGUUCGGAAUUACUGGGCGUAAAGGGCGUGUAGGCGGCCUUGUAAGUCGGGGGUGAAAUCCACUGGCUCAACCAGUGACGUGCCUUCGAAACUGCUUGGCUUGAGUAUGGCAGAGGAAAGCGGAAUUCCAGGUGUAGCGGUGAAAUGCGUAGAUAUCAAGAGGAACACCUGAGGUGAAGACGGGUUGCUGGGCUGACACUGACGCUGAGGCGCGAAAGCCAGGGGAGCAAACGGGAUUAGAUACCCACGUAGUCCCUGAGCGGGCUGGCAAGGCGCAU
This 473-nucleotide ribosomal RNA is filed under the name uncultured bacterium. RNAcentral's name for it is "bacterial SSU rRNA". It matches the Rfam family "Bacterial small subunit ribosomal RNA", at positions 355 to 825 of the family's 1533-position model. The record is from RNAcentral.